GCUGCCCCUUGCGAGCUCUGUGCUGUCCCCACCUAGUGCACAAUGAACUCUCUGCUCCUCCCCCUGCUCCUCCUGGCUCUGGCCCCGGGUGUCCUGUCCCAGCUCCAGCUCCAGGAGUCCGGCCCAGGGGUGGUGAAGCCUGGAGAGACGCUCACACUCACCUGCACUGUCACCGGGGGCACCGUCACCAGCAGCUACUACUGGAACUGGAUACGCCAGGCCCCGGGCCAAGCGCUGGAGUGGAUGGGAUACUGGACCGGGAGCACAAAUUACAACCCGUCUCUCCAAGGCCGAAUCACCAUCUCCGUGGAUUCUUCCAACACCAAAUACUAUCUGCGGCUGAGCUCGCUGACAGCUGCAGACACCGGCACCUAUUACUGCGCCAGAGACACAGUGACACAGGGCAGAGCAGGGACCGUACAAAAAGGGGAAGCGGAUUCUAAGCAAAGCAGUGAGGCCAGUUCAGCCGGGAGUGCUGAGUGCAGACCCCGUCCCCUGCACACAGACUGUGUGUUUGUGCAUGUGCCUGUACAUGUGUAUCUGUGUGUGUCUGUCUGUGUGUGUUUUCCUUUUGGGAUCAUAUUGGCUGAAGUUCUCCCAGCAGAACAUUUCGUCGCCCGCACGGCAGCUCCUGUUCCAGUGGGUAAAUCGGCACCAAAGAGUCGAGACUUCUGUGUUGUCAUCAAAUCUCUCUGACAUUUACCUAGAGAGCAGGAGCUUUAACACCGCUCGCUGCUUCUCCCCUGUGCAUAGAGCUUCCCCUGCCGGCCCCAUUCAUCUCCCAUCCCCGCUCGGUGAGACCCGCAUGCAAAUCCCUGCCCGGGGAUUCCUGUUAAAUACAAACCCCUGGUUCUAGGAGCUUCAGUCUCCCCCCAGACACAGAACUGCCCGAUCCUGUCCCUGGAGAGUGUCUCCAUUAACAACCACCAGGACAUCAUCACUGCCCUUCUCCCUUCUCCUGUUCUCCGCCCCAUCGGGUGAGUGUUUCAUGGGACCCAGAGAAACACCGAGGUCGGGAAUGCACCGGUUCCAGGCCAGAUUCAGCUCUGUUCCCCCUUUCCCCAGGUGGCCUCUCCCCGGUACAGCUGGCCAAGACCGGCCCGGGAGUGGUGAAGCCCGGAGAGACCCUGAGUAUCACCUGUAAAGUCUCUGUUCCCGUCAGCAUGGGGGGGUUGCUUCCAGUUGAGGGCAGGAAUGACCCAUGCAACUGUUCUGUUUGAAAACGGACCUCAAAAUAAAGUGCUUCAUCUCUUUACUGUAUCUCCCCACCCUUUGCUUCUACAGUCACAGCCCUUGUUCUGACAGAGCCCACAAACUGCACCUUCUCUCCAUGCCCAGUUCCACCCGCUUUCAUUGAAACCCAUUGUCACUCUCCGGUGCCUGAAACCUGCCUUUCUCCCACUGCAGUUUGAGCUGCUUCCCCAUCAGACAUUUGCAGGAGAGAUUCAUUCCUCUGGACAACACGUUUACAUUGUUUAGAUUUAUUUUACAUGCCCAGCAUAGGCCCAUAGAUACCAGACUGUCAUAACUAGAAAGGGAAGGGUAACAACCCUCCUGUGUACAAUACUAUAAAAUCCCUCCUGGCCAGGGGCACCAAAAUCCUUUUCCCUGUAAAGGGUUAAGAAGCUCUGGUAACCAGGCUGACACCUGACCCAAAGGACCAAUAAGGGGGCAAGAUACUUUCAAAUCUUGGGGGGGUGGAAGGCUUUUGUUUGUGUUCUUUGUUUGAAGGUUGUUCGCUCUUGGGACUAGGGCUAGGUCUACACUACAGGGGGGGUCGACCUAAGAUACGCAACUUCAGCUACGUGAAUAGCGUAGUUGAAGUGGCGUAUUUUAGGUCGACUUACCUGGCUGUGAGGACGGCGGUGAGUCGACCGCUGCCGCGCCGCCGUCGACUCUGCUUCUGCCUCUUGCCGCGGUGGAUUUCCGGAGUCGACGGCAGAGCCAUCGGGGAUCGAUUUUAUCGCGUAUUCACUAGACACGAUAAGUCGAUCCCCAAUAGAUCGAUUGCUACCUGCCGAUUCGGCAGGUAGUGAAGACGUGCCCUAAGAGGGACCAGACAUCAAUCCAUGCUCUCCAAAUCUUUCUGAACAACUCUCUCAUAUUUGAAACUUGUAAGUAACAGCCAGGCAAGGUGUAUUAGUUUAUCUUUGUUUUCUUAACUUAUGAAUGUUCCUUUGCAAGAGGGAGGUAUCCCUGUUUUGCUGUAACUUUGAAACUAAGGCUAGAGGGGGUUCCUCUGGGCUCUCUGAAUCUGAUUACCCUGUAAAGUUAUUUUCCAUCCUAAUUUUACCAAGAUGAUUUUUACCUUUUCUGUUUAAUAAAAUCCUUCUUUGAAGAACUUGACUGAUUUUUCUAUUGUCCAAAGACGCAGGGGUAUGGGUCUUUGAUCAGUUUGUAACCAAUUGGUUAGGAUAUUAUUCUCAAGCCUCCCCAGGAAAGGGGGUGUAAGUGCUUGGGGGGAUAUUUUGGGGGAAGAGAAACUCCAAGUGUUCCUUUCCCUGUUUCUUGUUAAAUCACUUGGUGGUGGCAGCGUACCAGGUUUUAACCUAAGCUGGUAGAAAUAAGCUUAGGGAGCUUUCAUGCGGGUCCCCACAUCUGUACCCCAGAGUUCAGAGUGGGGAAGGAACCCUGACACAGACAAAUCACUGUGUAAUAUCAGAGAACAAAAGACUCUGUUGAUCGCUUCCCCCCCACACCCACAAACAGGAGAAGUGCAGCUGGACUCCUCCCAUCAGCUUGAGCUCUGGGAGAAUGGAAUAAAAAUUCAUAACAAGGAGAAACUAAAUCUUCAUGCUGCUUGGACUCUGAGAAACAAGGAUUACUAAGCAUAAGCAAAAGAUCCCUUGAGUUGAGCACAGUUAGCCCUAAAAGACACACAGAACUUGCUUCUUAUAGAAGCUUCUACCAUCUUUUAGAAGCUAAGACUGUAACUGGUUUGUGAGGGUAUGUUUACCUGCUUUAACCUUGUAAAUAACUCUCUUCCUUCUUUUUUUCUUAGCCAAUAAAUCUUUAGUUAACUAAUUAUAGGACUGGCUACAAGUCUUGUCUUUGAUGUCGGAUCUAAAGAGUAAUUGACCUGGGGUAAGUGACUGGUCCUCGGGGAAGGGCAAUAACCCAACUAUUGUUGUGAUUUUUGGUGUAAAGGACCACCUAUCACAAAGGCAAGCUUUGGUAGAUUGGCCCCACUGAGCGAAACCCACUUGCCAAUCCCUACCCAAGGGGUCUCCGUGGGGUGUAAAGGGGACACAUGUCCCCGGGGGGACAUUGCCAUGUACUGAGCGCUCACCCCCGUCAUCUCUUCUACCCAUCCCGGUAACCCACAUGCAAAUCCCUGCCCUGGGGGGUUCCUGUUAAAUACCAACCCCUGGUUCUAUAAGCUUCAGUCUCUCCCCAGACACAGAACUGCCCGGUCCUGCCGAUUGCGGGAUUGCCCUCAUAGGAAAACAAGAAUGAAAUCUCUGCUGCUUUUCCUUUCCCUGUUCUCCGCCCCUGCCUCUGAGUGUCUCUGGGGAAGGAGGGAAAUUAGGGACUGAUCCAUAGAAUCUUCUCUUUGUUUCCCUUUCCCCAGGUGUCCUCCCUCAGGUGCAGCUGAUCCAGACCGACCAGGAGCGGUGAAAGCCGGAGAGACCCU
This is a non-coding RNA of Malaclemys terrapin pileata, 3634 nucleotides long. Lineage: Eukaryota; Metazoa; Chordata; Testudines; Emydidae. The record is from the annotation of a RefSeq genome assembly.